UACUCCUACGGGAGGCAGCAGUAGGGAAUCUUCGGCAAUGGACGGAAGUCUGACCGAGCAACGCCGCGUGAGUGAAGAAGGUUUUCGGAUCGUAAAGCUCUGUUGUAAGAGAAGAACGAGUGUGAGAGUGGAAAGUUCACACUGUGACGGUAUCUUACCAGAAAGGGACGGCUAACUACGUGCCAGCAGCCGCGGUAAUACGUAGGUCCCGAGCGUUGUCCGGAUUUAUUGGGCGUAAAGCGAGCGCAGGCGGUUAGAUAAGUCUGAAGUUAAAGGCUGUGGCUUAACCAUAGUACGCUUUGGAAACUGUUUAACUUGAGUGCAAGAGGGGAGAGUGGAAUUCCAUGUGUAGCGGUGAAAUGCGUAGAUAUAUGGAGGAACACCGGUGGCGAAAGCGGCUCUCUGGCUUGUAACUGACGCUGAGGCUCGAAAGCGUGGGGAGCAAACAGGAUUAGAUACCCUGGUAGUCCACGCCGUAAACGAUGAGUGCUAGGUGUUAGACCCUUUCCGGGGUUUAGUGCCGUAGCUAACGCAUUAAGCACUCCGCCUGGGGAGUACGACCGCAAGGUUGAAACUCAAAGGAAUUGACGGA
This 592-nucleotide ribosomal RNA is filed under the name uncultured bacterium. Its description in RNAcentral is "bacterial SSU rRNA". It matches the Rfam family "Bacterial small subunit ribosomal RNA", at positions 334 to 917 of the family's 1533-position model. The record is from RNAcentral.